GCUGGCGUAGCUCAACUGGUAGAGCUCCUCACUUGUAAUGAGGGGGUUGGGGGUUCAAGUCCUCUCGCCAGCUCCA
Molecule: transfer RNA, 76 nt
Filed under: bacterium
Lineage: Bacteria
Also listed under: 1 other name
Description: tRNA-Thr
Rfam family: tRNA
About the family: Transfer RNA (tRNA) molecules are approximately 80 nucleotides in length. Their secondary structure includes four short double-helical elements and three loops (D, anti-codon, and T loops).
Source: RNAcentral